Molecule: ribosomal RNA, 1038 nt
Filed under: Pediococcus acidilactici
Lineage: Bacteria; Bacillati; Bacillota; Bacilli; Lactobacillales; Lactobacillaceae
Description: bacterial SSU rRNA
Rfam family: Bacterial small subunit ribosomal RNA
Source: RNAcentral
CGAACGAACUUCCGUUAAUUGAUCAGGACGUGCUUGCACUGAAUGAGAUUUUAACACGAAGUGAGUGGCGGACGGGUGAGUAACACGUGGGUAACCUGCCCAGAAGCAGGGGAUAACACCUGGAAACAGAUGCUAAUACCGUAUAACAGAGAAAACCGCAUGGUUUUCUUUUAAAAGAUGGCUCUGCUAUCACUUCUGGAUGGACCCGCGGCGCAUUAGCUAGUUGGUGAGGUAACGGCUCACCAAGGCGAUGAUGCGUAGCCGACCUGAGAGGGUAAUCGGCCACAUUGGGACUGAGACACGGCCCAGACUCCUACGGGAGGCAGCAGUAGGGAAUCUUCCACAAUGGACGCAAGUCUGAUGGAGCAACGCCGCGUGAGUGAAGAAGGGUUUCGGCUCGUAAAGCUCUGUUGUUAAAGAAGAACGUGGGUGAGAGUAACUGUUCACCCAGUGACGGUAUUUAACCAGAAAGCCACGGCUAACUACGUGCCAGCAGCCGCGGUAAUACGUAGGUGGCAAGCGUUAUCCGGAUUUAUUGGGCGUAAAGCGAGCGCAGGCGGUCUUUUAAGUCUAAUGUGAAAGCCUUCGGCUCAACCGAAGAAGUGCAUUGGAAACUGGGAGACUUGAGUGCAGAAGAGGACAGUGGAACUCCAUGUGUAGCGGUGAAAUGCGUAGAUAUAUGGAAGAACACCAGUGGCGAAGGCGGCUGUCUGGUCUGUAACUGACGCUGAGGCUCGAAAGCAUGGGUAGCGAACAGGAUUAGAUACCCUGGUAGUCCAUGCCGUAAACGAUGAUUACUAAGUGUUGGAGGGUUUCCGCCCUUCAGUGCUGCAGCUAACGCAUUAAGUAAUCCGCCUGGGGAGUACGACCGCAAGGUUGAAACUCAAAAGAAUUGACGGGGGCCCGCACAAGCGGUGGAGCAUGUGGUUUAAUUCGAAGCUACGCGAAGAACCUUACCAGGUCUUGACAUCUUCUGCCAACCUAAGAGAUUAGGCGUUCCCUUCGGGGACAGAAUGACAGGUGGUGCAUGGUGUCGUC